GUUCCAGCACAUGUUCAAAGGUGUGAUAAGGAUAAUAGAGCAGCACAUCACGUUCACGAAUCGCGUCGAAACCGUUACGAAACUUCUCUUUAUCAAACCAAAGAUGGCGUAACCGCGGUAACGGCUUAUUGACCAGGUUGGCUUUACCGACAUUCGGAAAAUUAAUAAAGUCUUUAAAAUUGUGGUAGCGCCCGCCGGGUACGAUUGAGUCAUACCGGGAGAUCGUCAGUUUUUCCCGCAGCACGUCGACCAGCGCGGCGGGCAUAUCGCGUUGAUAGACAAAGCGCACAGGUUCAGCGGUCAGGCGCUGCUUCAGGCUGGAGGACAUCAGCUCCAUCAGACUGGAUUCCAUCUCAUGCAC
This 361-nucleotide unclassified non-coding RNA is filed under the name uncultured fungus. Its description in RNAcentral is "partial internal transcribed spacer 1". Lineage: Eukaryota; Fungi. The record is from RNAcentral.